Molecule: long non-coding RNA, 861 nt
Organism: Ictalurus punctatus (channel catfish)
Lineage: Eukaryota; Metazoa; Chordata; Actinopteri; Siluriformes; Ictaluridae
Source: Ensembl
UUUCUACCCCUAGCCAGUUCAGGUAUUUCAUACACUUUCUACCCCUAGCCAGUUCAGGUAUUUCAUACACUUUCUACCCCUAGCCAGUUCAGGUAUUUCAUACACUUUCUACCCCUAGCCAGUUGAGGUAUUUCAUACACUUUCUACCCCUAGCCAGUUCAGGUAUUUCAUACACUUUCUACCCCUAGCCAGUUCAGGUAUUUCAUACACUUUCUACCCCUAGCCAGUUCAGGUAUUUCAUACACUUUCUGCCCCUAGCCAGUUCAGGUAUUUCUUAAAUUUUCUGCCCCUAGCCAGUUCAGGUAUUUCAUACACUUUCUGCCCCUAGCCAGUUCAGGUAUUUCAUACACUUUCUGCCCCUAGCCAGUUCAGGUAUUUCUUAAAUUUUCUGCCCCUAGCCAGUUCAGGUAUUUCAUACACUUUCUACCCCUAGCCACUUGAGGUAUUUCAUACACUUUCUGGCCCUAGCCAGUUCAGGUAUUUCGUGCAUUUUCUACCCCUAGCCAGUUCAGGUAUUUCAUGUGUUCCAGCUCAAGCACAACUGGUGUAAGUAACGAAGCCUUUGAUUAGAUGCAUCAGGUGUGCUUGAGACGACACCUGUUCUGCGUAUUUGUACUGUUGUGAGGGAUUCCAUUCAGGGGGUUGAAUCAUUUUGAGACUGGAGAAAUCAUUAUAAGUUGCAUUUUCAGUUGAAUUUGGGGAAACCACUCGAAGCGUUCGUUGUGGUGUGUUGUGUUGUGUUCGUUUCAAUUGCCUUUGUUUGAUUUGUUCAUCGCAAACAGAUGAAAGUCUGUCCAUUUUGACAAUAAACCGGAUUUGCAACUGUAUAAUGGCCGCCUAUUGAGUAUUUGUCAACAGUUA